UGGAGCGACGCCGCGUGGAGGAUGAAGGCCUUUUGGUCGUAAACUCCUGUCAUGCGAGAACAAGAAAGUGAUAGUAUCGCAAGAGGAAGAGACGGCUAACUCUGUGCCAGCAGCCGCGGUAAUACAGAGGUCUCAAGCGUUGUUCGGAUUCAUUGGGCGUAAAGGGUGCGUAGGUGGCUUGGUAAGUUGAAGGUGAAAUCUCGGAGCUCAACUCCGAAACUGCCUUCAAUACUGCCGAGCUCGAGGACUGUAGAGGAGAAUGGAAUUCACGGUGUAGCAGUGAAAUGCGUAGAUAUCGUGAGGAAGACCAGUGGCGAAGGCGAUUCUCUGGGCAGUUCCUGACACUGAGGCACGAAGGCCAGGGGAGCAAACGGGAUUAGAUACCCCGGUAGUCCUGGCAGUAAACGGUGCACGUUUGGUGUGGGAGGAUUCGACCCCUUCCGUGCCGGAGCUAACGCGUUAAACGUGCCGCCUGGGAAGUACGGUCGCAAGAUUAAAACUCAAAGAAAUUGACGGGGGCCCGCACAAGCGGUGGAGUAUGUGGCUUAAUUCGAUGCAACGCGAAGAACCUUACCUGGCCUUGACAUGUAUCGUGAAAAUCGGUGAAAGCCGGUGACUGCCCGCAAGGGUGA
RNAcentral lists this ribosomal RNA (632 nucleotides) under Spartobacteria bacterium So3Pw_1431. RNAcentral describes it as "bacterial SSU rRNA". It matches the Rfam family "Bacterial small subunit ribosomal RNA", at positions 387 to 1029 of the family's 1533-position model. The record is from RNAcentral. Lineage: Bacteria; Pseudomonadati; Verrucomicrobiota; Spartobacteria.